CUGGAAAACAGCAAUCCAAUUUGAACGCUCACACUUAUCGGUUGUGGAAGGAUCGUCGCCAGCGGCCUGGGUUUGCCUGGUCACUCCGCGGCCGGCUUGGGUCUGUAGCUCAGUUGGUUAGAGCACCGUCUUGAUAAGGCGGGGGUCGUUGGUUCGAGACCAACCAGACCCACCAUCCCUUCUUGGGUUUAUUGGGGGAUUAGCUCAGCUGGGAGAGCACCUGCUUUGCAAGCAGGGGGUCGUCGGUUCGAUCCCGUCAUCCUCCACCAUUUGUUUUGUCAUUCAACACCAAAGCGGCUUCGCGAGAGGCUGUUUUGUUGUUGAUCGGGAUCUCCCGAUCAAUCGGCUGUUCUUUAAAAAUUCAUAGAGUCGAAUCAGCGUUGUCAGAGGAAACUGCACAUUCGUAAAGGUUUAGUGCAGACCGUGCCUCUGAUGACAAUUUUGAUUGCGUCAAAAUGAACUCAAACUUUGUUUGAAUUCAAGUAAUGACGAAUCGUUCUCUUGACAGCAAUGUCAAAGAAUCAUUCACAUUACGGCAUAACGCGCCAGGUGAAAGACCUGGCAAGUCCUUGAAAGAAGGCUUGGGUGUUUCGCAAGAAACGUCAAAGUUAUAGGGUCAAGUGACUAAGAGCAUGUG
RNAcentral lists this transfer RNA (637 nucleotides) under uncultured bacterium. Its description in RNAcentral is "16S-23S ribosomal RNA intergenic spacer". The stretch from base 99 to 172 matches the Rfam family "tRNA". The record is from RNAcentral.